CCUACGGGAGGCAGCAGUAGGGAAUUUUGCACAAUGGGCGCAAGCCUGAUGCAGCAAUACCGCGUGAGUGAAGAAGGCCCUUGGGUUGUAAAGCUCUUUCGGCCAGGAAGCGGUACUGGAAGAAGAAGCACCUGCUAACUACGUGCCAGCAGCAGCGGUAAUACGUAGGGUGCAAGCGUUGUUCGGAAUUACUGGGUGUAAAGCGCGCGUAGGCGGGUUUGAAAGUCGAUUGUGAAAUCCCUAGGCUUAACCUGGGAAUUGCAGUCGAAACUCCAAAUCUUGAAUGUCUGAGAGGAUGGCGGAAUAACCGGUGUAGUAGUGAAAUACGUAGAUAUCGGUUAGAACACCUGAGGCGAAGGCGGCUAUCUGGCGGUAAUUGACGCUAAGGCGCGAAAGCGUGGGGAGCAAACAGGAUUAGAUACCCUUGUAGUC
Molecule: ribosomal RNA, 432 nt
Filed under: uncultured bacterium
Lineage: Bacteria
Description: partial 16S ribosomal RNA
Rfam family: Bacterial small subunit ribosomal RNA
Source: RNAcentral